This is a long non-coding RNA of Solea senegalensis (Senegalese sole), 347 nucleotides long. RefSeq lists it as uncharacterized. NCBI's taxonomy places the organism in Eukaryota, Metazoa, Chordata, Actinopteri, Pleuronectiformes, Soleidae. The record is from RefSeq and is a predicted model, not a curated record. The transcript is spliced from 3 exons.
AAAACAAAAUCAGUCACAGCACACCUGUUUUCAAUAAUAAGCCACACCCCAAACAAUUCAAACUUUUGCACCUGUUGGGCAGACCAUUUGUGCCGAUAUUCAAACUCCUUACAAGUUUGUUUGUUUGUGUCUCAGUGUUUGCAGCAAUAACGCAAACCUGCUACAGGACUGGAUUUCAUGGAUGGAUUCGGUUUGCUGGCGUCUCCCCAACACUGUAGAUGUCCUGAAAUGAAAGGUCAUCCUGGAUUACUAUGGAGAACCGAAAGGCCAAAAAUUAAAACCCAGCAGCAAAACACAUGGACUAGAUUUCACUGACUGGACUGGAUGUGAUUUACCUGUGUGAGUAG